This is a long non-coding RNA of Sinocyclocheilus grahami, 667 nucleotides long. RefSeq lists it as uncharacterized. The record is from RefSeq and is a predicted model, not a curated record. NCBI's taxonomy places the organism in Eukaryota, Metazoa, Chordata, Actinopteri, Cypriniformes, Cyprinidae. The transcript has 3 exons.
GAACCCUGGCUGCAAGCCCGCAAUUGACUGAUGAAGGUCUAGAUAAGAGUGCCUUUGUUGUGGCCUGCAAGACAUAUAUUAUGAAACUCUGCACAGAAAUUUCCGGUACAGCCAAUCAGAGCUAGUCAGUGUGGCUGCAUCUACUAAGACCUUAGCCCGGAGUCGCCAGAGGAGGAAGAGGCUGUUGGAGGCUAGGCAGAGUGUACUGGCUGCGGACGAGGUGGACUUCUGGAGGGGCAUCACUGCUGACAUGAUGUCUGAUGAAGAAGACGGUACUAUUGAUGGAGUGUCGGGGUGGGUUGUGAGAACUCCAUCGUUCCGCAGCCAGGAGCUCAGCAUUCUGUGUUCCACUCUGCAAGCAAGACUGGAAGCUACUACAAAGCAUGCAGCACUGCAUCACCAGCGUCUGCGGGGUGGAUUACCUUCUGGUAGAUUGUCACUGCAAACUUAUGACUCAGAGGCGGCAAAAAAGCACAUGAAGCCAAGCCACGUAUGAUGCCCUAUCCAAGACUGUAGCCUCUGGCUAACUGACAAACUUGCUUGUGUGUGUGUGCGCAUGUUUUUACCUAUUGUUUAUCAAUAAAGUGCUUUUAUUUAAUCAACAUGUCCCAAAUGUUUGUUUUCUUUCCCUAAUGUUCAUGCAUAUCCUAUGUUAGUCUGUAUUGUU